This is a long non-coding RNA of Diorhabda sublineata, 731 nucleotides long. RefSeq lists it as uncharacterized. Lineage: Eukaryota; Metazoa; Arthropoda; Insecta; Coleoptera; Chrysomelidae. The transcript has 3 exons. The record is from RefSeq and is a predicted model, not a curated record.
UUGCGCUUAUGGAUGCGCAGAUGCAUAACCGACCGAACAUCGGACAUUCAGCAUUUAGUAUUGUUUGUUGUUCAGUAGAUAGUGUGAUUUAUUGUGUUCGGUGUUAUUUUUAGUCUGUGCCAUAGUUUAUUCUACAGAUAGCACUGUUUUUGAACAUUAGAGGCAAAAUCGUUUUAAAUUAUGUCCACAAAAAGUUGAAAAGUUCAUAAAAAAAGAGGCAGAUGAAGGAGUUACUAUUCCUUUGAAAAAUUACAGCUGCUACUGGGGUGUCAAGGUCUACUUUUCAGAAGAUAUCAAAAGAAGCUCAAAAAGUUGAUUGGGGAGGGCCAAGCACAUCUUUUCAAUCGCCGAAAAAAAUACGUAACACUAAAAAAAGAAAGCUGGAUCGUAUCUCGCCAGAUCAGAUAAAAUCUAUAAGGGAAAUUAUCUACGAUUUUUAUGUACUGGAGAAGAGACUUCCUACGUUAAACUGUGUUUUGCAGAAAAUUAAUGACCGGCAAAUCUUGACAGAAGCAAUAAAUGUAAGCAGCUUGAAUCGACUCCUUAAAAAAAUUGUUUCAGGUAAUAAUUUUGAUUUUAAGUUGUUCAUUACUACGAUAAUUAAAACCUUGAUGUCUAUCACAGUGAUUUUUUUUGUAUAUAAGUAAUAUCUUACUGUAAUAUAUGUUUAAAUCUUUAAAAUACAUUUUUUUGUAUUUUUUAAUCUAAUAAAUGUUUUGUUGCGAACUGCA